Numida meleagris (helmeted guineafowl) is the source of this 3593-nucleotide long non-coding RNA. RefSeq lists it as uncharacterized. Lineage: Eukaryota; Metazoa; Chordata; Aves; Galliformes; Numididae. The transcript is spliced from 3 exons. The record is from RefSeq and is a predicted model, not a curated record.
CCAGUGAUUAAGCCCUCAGCAGGAAGGUAGGGCCAACCCAGGGGAAUUCAGGUGCAUGCAAUGCACCUGACUGACUGGAAAGGGUGAAGCCAGGAUCCACUCUGUCCCAGACCUCAAUUAAGGGCUGGCAGAGGAGGUGAUGGUAUCUCAUUUGGUAUCCUGCCUACGUGAGGACCUUCUAGGCCUUCUGAAGGAAAAAGCCAGGUUCUGCAAUCACACUGUCCUGUGAGGGAAAAGCAUAACAACUGAAUUCUACCAGCAGACGACAGAAAAACAAAUAACUCCAGUGUGGACUGCCCAUCAAUGUAGUUCCUUCAUGAAAUAUUCAGCUGCCCUGGUUUGGGUUUCUCCACUGGCUGGAGAGUUGAUAUUUGCUCCACCAUGGUCCUUGCAGUCCUCUCUAUGUGCUGCACAGGGACAGCCUGCUCCAUCACAAUCUUCUCCAUGGAUUGCAGGGAAAUCUCUGCUCCAGCACCUGAAGCACCUCCUCCCCCUCCGUUUUUUCUUUACUUUAUUUGCUCUUUUAUCCUCUACUUCUCUACCUUUCUGGCACUUUAUCCUCUUUCUUAAAUUUCCCAGAAGUGCUGCCACCUUGGCUGUUGGGCCUAGCUGUGUCCUGUGGUGGGGCCUUCGGAGCCAACUGGAACUGGUUGUGUGGCUGUGGCUGGCAUGGGGCAGCUCCACCCUUGUCUCAUGGAGGAUGUCUGCAGCCCCUGCGUGUGUAGCACUGCCAUUCCUUUCCUGGGACUUGGAUGUUAAUAAAAAGGAUAGGACUAUUGUAUCAUAGCUACAUGUUUAGUCACAGAUCUGAUUAGGGGGCCCUGGAUCAUAUUGCUGUGUGUAAUGUGAAGCCAGAGGUCACCUACUGCUUUCUUGUGGGGCUCACUGGCUGAUGUAGAGGGCCUGUGAUGCUACAGACCAGCUUAUAUAUAUAUUUUCUGUGUUAAGAGUAACAUUUUGGCCCCUAUUGUAAUGGAUACGCUAUUGUGCUUGUGGGGGGGGGGGAGAUGUUGUUUUUGCAUAACAACAGAAUGUUGUGAGAGUAAGGGGAUGUGUCUCAGAGCUUAUGAUACAAGUUAUGUUUCUGCUUGCGGUUAGGCCGAAAGAAUAGAGUAUGUGCAUUCUUGAGAUAACAGGAAGAAUGCUAGUAUGAAAUAAUAAGGGUUGUGUUAAAAAUGUUUGCAAGGACAAUUAGAUGGUAAAAAGGAAAAGGGAGAACAGAGAUUGGGCAGGGGGGAAAGGAUUAGAUUCCUUUGCAAAAUAAGAUCUGGAAAGAAGAACUGGUUCAAGAAAUUUAUCUUGCUGGUAUAUGGCAGGAGAUGCUAGCUUAGCACCUGUAAAUCUUGUUUGCUUGACAGAACAAAGAGCGAUGGACACUGUCAAACAGCAUGCCAAGAUAGCUCUAGUUGAGCAAAACAACAAACUCUGAAUCCAGAUUACAAAGCAUGUAUAAACAAAGGAAAGCAAGUGGGUGCCUACUGCAGAGGGGAUGAGAGCAUGAUAAGCAAACUGAGAAGAAUGUGAAUCCCAAGUACCUUAACCAGUGGGGAAAGGGGAAAGGGCUCAUUUGCUGUCAGAUAAUGGGGAAUACAAACAGCUGGUUCUUUCCAGUGUGGUGUGCCUACCCUGUAGGUCACCUGUUCUUGUAAAAGCAUAAAAUGUGAUUCAUAGCAAAUUCCAUCUGAGCCUGGGCUAUUAGACACAAGCAUUUCUCACGUGUUUCAGUGCAGCUUUAUGGAGUGUGAUGGGGUUGUUAUUCCUAAGGUGGAUCUCCAGGUUGAAUUCAUAACACAGUAUUUCCAAAACUGACAUUUUUACUUCUGAGUUUUGGAAGUUAAAUAAGAUGCAUCUGCUGGAGCUGGACUGAAUGUUUUAAUGUUCUAGAAAAAUAAUUAUUGUACCCACAAAGUGUAUUGUUACUUCAAAUACACAUGUAUAAAUAUAUGUAGUAUAUAAGUAUUGCAACACUUGUUGGAAUAUUUUCAUAUCUACUCAAACAUACCGUUCAUAGGAGACAUCUUGAAUGGAAAGAGAUUUUCACAAUAUAGUUUAGACAUAAGCUCUUGAACAGUCUUCAUUCACAGUUGCUGACAAAUGGACUUUUAAUUAGAUGAAUUCUGCAACACCUGUGGCCUGGAGAAGCCUUGCCACCUUUUAUAGAGUUGCUGUGUAAUCCAAAGUGAUGAGGAUUUGGCAUGAAAAUCUAGUACUGUCUCCAGGAUAUCUCUGAUUUAUUUUGAUUUAUAUGAAAGCUAAAAAUUGAGCUCAUAAGAAGCUUUAAGUGCCCUUGACAAAAUAAAUUCUAAGGGCAGCAAUCUGAAAUAGCCUACAAUAAAUUGCCCUUUUUUCAAUCAGCUUCAUAUAUGAUCAGUACAAUUACAGAUCUGUUCUUUCCAUAGCAAAUAUCACGAAAGAAAAAUCUUUCAAAGGUAAUGCUAGAUGGCAGUGUGAUAUGGUAGGAAUAUAAUAUUAGUAGCUCCAUAGUUUUGCAGUACCAUUUCAAUCCUUUUCUGUAUGCCAAAUACCUCUUCAUGCUUUCUUUGUAUAAGGCCACUGUUCUCAAUGAAGUUACAGAAGGGAAUGCAUGGGUUCAGGUCUAACAUCAAAUGCAUUUGCAUUAAAUCUCUGUCCCAUCUUAUUUGUAAAAUACAGUGAUUUUCCUGGCUAUCAUGUGGAGCAGAUAUUUGCCUUUAAGAUUCUUUUCCUCCUCAGGCAGGUGUGGAGUAUCCAUGAUAAAAAUACAUGGCAACAGUUUGUGGCUUUGUCCUUGAAAGCAGCAAAAUGGCAUUUAUGUGCAUAUGAAGGACAGAUGCAAUCAAACUGGUGGUGGAGCUGCCCACUUAGAGGUGACUAGGAGCACGUACCCCCCUCCAGCCGAUGUCAACAGGAGAAAUCUUUCUGCUCCUUGUCACUCCCUGAUGUUAACUCAGUGUCUUAUAAUUUGCUGUGGGUACUAAGAAAACAAAUAUUGCACUAAACAUUUUUAUUGCCUUUCAGACAUAUAUUGUUACCUCACAUGGUUGAGAAUCUUAAACAAUGCUUUUUGUUGCCCUAAUGUUUAGUGGCUUUUAAAUAAUCUGUCAAAAUAUUGUCUUUUGCAUUGCUGAUGUUUCUUUAUCCAGAAGCACAGUUUGAUUAUGCCUUUGCUUGUGAACACAAACAAAUCAAUCUGUCUCUCACAAGAAGUAUAGAGAAGUCUAAAAAUUAUCCCUUGAGUAAGAGACUGAAAAAAUAAGAGACAAGUGAAAUAACCUAAUAAACCACGAACCGAUAUGGGGAAAAAAUACUUUCCCCUGGUAUUGGAGCUAUCAACAGAAAAAAACUGAAACUUUAAUUUUCUUCAAAUAGAAGAUGUCAGUGAUGGAAAAGCAAACAUAUUUUUGCUUAUAGUUUUUUUUUUACCAUGGGUACUAUUGACUUGAUGAGCAAGAAGGUACUGUAAAUAUCUAUUUUUUAAGUAACUUUUGGAUCCUGUCAUCACAGUGCAGUAUGCUGCAACUUGAUCCUUCUUGCAUGUCUCUUCCAUUACAAUUUAUUCAGAUGUCAAAGCUAGAAGCUUCCAGCUCCUACCUAAGCCUGAAUCUUUUUUUUUU